AUGCAAUCGCUGCGUCUGCCUCACACUUCCCGCCCGCCGCUGCUCCCCGCACCCCGCCGGCCUCGGCCAGGGCUCCCGCGGGGCCCCGAGUGCCGCACGGCCGCGCACGUGUCCUCGCGCACGGGCGCUCGUGUCCCACGCGGACGCAGCGCUGGCGCGCACCCGGGCUUGCGUGGAGCCACCCGCGUGUCCCCUGUGUCAGUAGCGGCGAUGCUCGGCGGCCUCGUCGCACGAGCAGGGCCAGCCCACGCGGCUGCACGCGUGGCGUGGCGUGGGCAGCUCCCUGUGGGCGCUCGUCGCCGUGGCUCGUGCGUGAGGGGCUCAGAGUCCCCGCCGUGGGGAUGCUCCCAUCAUGUCCCGGAGAAGCAGGUCCCCGCCGAGUGCAGCCCAGGGUCUCCUUUCUCUGCCCUUGCUCCUUCUUGCUUCCGUUCCUGCUCGACCCAAGUCAAAUCCAGAGCCCAGCUAUGGAAACCGCCCCUGCUGCGCGCAGGACAGGCUGGCACGCGGCUCCUGGGACACAAAACACCCUUGGGUUCUGCAUGUGCCCCAUGCCCCGCAGCAAGGGCUCUGCCCGGUCUGGGACCUGCCCUCGGGUCGUGGUGCCGUGGGGCUGCGGAGACAUCCCACUGCCCCGCGUGCUGCUCGGGGCUUUGCAGGGACAGCUCAGGGCUGGCCCAGGGUGGUGCUUGCUGCCUUUGCAGGCAGAGCUCUGCAGUGCCAAGGACCUGCCCUGGCCGCGGUGCCCAGGCAGGACUAUCCCCUCGCUUCCUCGCCCUGAAAUCCCCAGGCUGCACUUUUAAUCGCUGUAGUAAACUGCAGUUAAUUGGUAGCGCAUCCAAACCCCUGCCACUCCUUGCCCCCAAGUCUUCAGGGCCCCUGCGGAGCAGGAGGACGCGCAAGGCUGCAGUCGCUGCCCCUGGGCAGUGGCCAAGAGAGGGGCAGCGUUGGGCAAACGGUGGGGGCUGGGGGCGGCUGGAGGAGCCGUGGCCACACGGGGGGAGCCGGUGUCAGACCGCUCGAGCGACGCCAAGGGGGAGGACUUGGCCGGGGCGAUGCCAGCAGAGCCUCGCCCGGCACACGGAGGCUCGGCCCAGCCGCUUUGGCAAUGCUCGCGGGGCGCCGUGUGCCAAUAAUGUGAUUGAAACUGAAUUGAGAAGGAAGGAGGGAAAGAGGAGGAAAGGGAAAGAAAGCACGGAUUGUCUGCUCCUGCCGCCCAGGCCCCGAGGCCUCCGGGCGCCUCCCUUGACGAAACAGAAAUCAAACAAAAUUACAGAAAUAGGGCAAGAGCAUUUGCCUAAUAAACUCCCCAAGCAGGAGCAGGAGGAGGAGCGCGGUGCUGCCAGAUCUCCAACCUGCAAUCUGCGAGCCAGCGCCCUGAGCCCACAUGAAUCCAGAGCACGGCCCCGGGCCCCGGGGUCAGCUCCAGCGAGGGAGGGAGAAACUGCCAAGAAAAUGGGCUCAGCAUAA
Molecule: long non-coding RNA, 1467 nt
Filed under: Anser cygnoides (Swan goose)
Lineage: Eukaryota; Metazoa; Chordata; Aves; Anseriformes; Anatidae
Description: lncRNA (ENSACDG00005009954.1)
Source: RNAcentral